UACGGAGGGUGCAAGCGUUAAUCGGAAUUACUGGGCGUAAAGCGCACGCAGGUGGCUGAGUCAGUCGAUUGUGAAAGCCCUGGGCUUAACCUGGGAAUUGCAGUCGAUACUACUCAGCUAGAGUAUGGGAGAGGGUAGUGGAAUUCCCGGUGUAGCGGUGAAAUGCGUAGAGACCGGGAAGAACACCAGUGGCGAAGGCGAGUCCCUGGACAACACCUGACACUGAGGCACGAAAGCCGGGGGAGCAAACAGG
RNAcentral lists this ribosomal RNA (253 nucleotides) under uncultured bacterium. RNAcentral's name for it is "partial 16S ribosomal RNA". It matches the Rfam family "Bacterial small subunit ribosomal RNA", at positions 524 to 776 of the family's 1533-position model. The record is from RNAcentral.